Molecule: ribosomal RNA, 735 nt
Filed under: uncultured Alphaproteobacteria bacterium
Lineage: Bacteria; Pseudomonadati; Pseudomonadota; Alphaproteobacteria
Description: bacterial SSU rRNA
Rfam family: Bacterial small subunit ribosomal RNA
Source: RNAcentral
AGUCGUACGAGAUCUUCGGAUCUAGUGGCAGACGGGUGCGUAACGCGUGGGAACCUGCCCUUUAGUAAGGAAUAACUCAGGGAAACUUGUGCUAAUACCUUAUAAUCCCUUCGGGGGAAAGCUUUAUGCGCUAAUGGAUGGGCCCGCGUUAGAUUAGCUUGUUGGUGAGGUAAUGGCUCACCAAGGCGACGAUCUAUAGCUGGUCUGAGAGGAUGAUCAGCCACACUGGGACUGAGACACGGCCCAGACUCCUACGGGAGGCAGCAGUGGGGAAUAUUGGACAAUGGGGGCAACCCUGAUCCAGCGAUGCCGCGUGAGUGAUGAAGGCCUUAGGGUUGUAAAACUCUUUCGCUAGGGAAGAUAAUGACGGUACCUAGUAAAGAAGAUCCGGCUAACUCCGUGCCAGCAGCCGCGGUAAUACGGAGGGAUCUAGCGUUAUUCGGAAUAACUGGGCGUAAAGCGAGCGUAGGCGGAUUUGUAAGUUGGAGGUGAAAUCCCAGGGCUUAACCCUGGAACUGCCUUCAAAACUACAUUUCUUGAGUUUGGUAGAGGAGAGUGGAAUUCCUAGUGUAGAGGUGAAAUUCGUAGAUAUUAGGAGGAACACCAGUGGCGAAGGCGACUCUCUGGGCCAAUACUGACGCUGAGGUUCGAAAGCGUGGGGAGCAAACGGGAUUAGAUACCCCGGUAGUCCACGCAGUAAACGAUGAGUGCUAGAUGUUGGGAACAUUAGUUUUC